This 492-nucleotide ribosomal RNA is filed under the name uncultured bacterium. RNAcentral's name for it is "partial 16S ribosomal RNA". It matches the Rfam family "Bacterial small subunit ribosomal RNA", at positions 29 to 507 of the family's 1533-position model. The record is from RNAcentral.
AGUGAACGCUGGCGGUAGGCCUAACACAUGCAAGUCGAACGGCAGCACAGUAAGAGCUUGCUCUUACGGGUGGCGGGUGGCGGACGGGUGAGGAAUACAUCGGAAUCUACUUUUUCGUGGGGGAUAACGUAGGGAAACUUACGCUAAUACCGCAUACGACCUACGGGUGAAAGCAGGGGAUCUUCGGACCUUGCGCGAUUGAGUGAGCCGAUGUCGGAUUAGCUAGUUGGCGGGGUAAAGGCCCACCAAGGCGACGAUCCGUAGCUGGUCUGAGAGGAUGAUCAGCCACACUGGAACUGAGACACGGUCCAGACUCCUACGGGAGGCAGCAGUGGGGAAUAUUGGACAAUGGGCGCAAGCCUGAUCCAGCCAUACCGCGUGGGUGAAGAAGGCCUUCGGGUUGUAAAGCCCUUUUGUUGGGAAAGAAAAGCAGCAGGUUAAUACCCCGCUGUUCUGACGGUACCCAAAGAAUAAGCACCGGCUAACUUCGUG